UUCCGUAGGUGAACCUGCGGAAGGAUCAUUACCGAGUGCGGGCCCUCGUGGCCCAACCUCCCACCCUUGUCUCUAUACACCUGUUGCUUUGGCGGGCCCACCGGGGCCACCUGGUCGCCGGGGGACAUCUGUCCCCGGGCCCGCGCCCGCCGAAGCGCUCUGUGAACCCUGAUGAAGAUGGGCUGUCUGAGUACUAUGAAAAUUGUCAAAACUUUCAACGAUGGAUCUCUUGGUUCCGGCAUCGAUGAAGAACGCAGCGAAAUGCGAUAAGUAAUGUGAAUUGCAGAAUUCCGUGAAUCAUCGAAUCUUUGAACGCACAUUGCGCCCCCUGGCAUUCCGGGGGGCAUGCCUGUCCGAGCGUCAUUUCUGCCCUCAAGCACGGCUUGUGUGUUGGGUGCGGUCCCCCCGGGGACCUGCCCGAAAGGCAGCGGCGACGUCCGUCUGGUCCUCGAGCGUAUGGGGCUUUGUCACUCGCUCGGGAAGGACUGGCGGGGGUUGGUCACCACCAAAAUUUUACCACGGUUGACCUCGGAUCAGGUAGGAGUUACCCGCUGAACUUAAGCAUAUCAAUAAGCGGAGG
RNAcentral lists this ribosomal RNA (580 nucleotides) under Talaromyces purpureogenus. RNAcentral describes it as "eukaryotic LSU rRNA". The stretch from base 210 to 363 matches the Rfam family "5.8S ribosomal RNA". Lineage: Eukaryota; Fungi; Ascomycota; Eurotiomycetes; Eurotiales; Trichocomaceae. The record is from RNAcentral.